UACGAAGGGGGCUAGCGUUGGCUCGGAAUCACUGGGCGUAAAGCGCACGUAGGCGGACUCUUAAGUCGGUGGUGAAAUCCUGGAGCUCAACUCCAGAACUGCCUUCGAUACUGGGAGUCUUGAGUCCGGGAGAGGUGAGUGGAACUGCGAGUGUAGAGGUGAAAUUCGUAGAUAUUCGCAAGAACACCAGUGGCGAAGGCGGCUCACUGGCCCGGUACUGACGCUGAGGUGCGAAAGCGUGGG
RNAcentral lists this ribosomal RNA (243 nucleotides) under uncultured bacterium. Its description in RNAcentral is "partial 16S ribosomal RNA". It matches the Rfam family "Bacterial small subunit ribosomal RNA", at positions 524 to 765 of the family's 1533-position model. The record is from RNAcentral.